GAUGAACGCUGGCGGCGUGCUUAACACAUGCAAGUCGAACGGCGAACACGGAGCUUGCUCUGUGGGAUCAGUGGCGAACGGGUGAGUAACACGUGAGCAACCUGCCCCUGACUCUGGGAUAAGCGCUGGAAACGGCGUCUAAUACUGGAUACGAGUAGCGGCCGCAUGGUCAGUUACUGGAAAGAUUUUUUGGUUGGGGAUGGGCUCGCGGCCUAUCAGCUUGUUGGUGAGGUAAUGGCUCACCAAGGCGUCGACGGGUAGCCGGCCUGAGAGGGUGACCGGCCACACUGGGACUGAGACACGGCCCAGACUCCUACGGGAGGCAGCAGUGAGGAAUUUUCCACAAUGGACGAAAGUCUGAUGGAGCAACGCCGCGUGCAGGAAGACGGCUUUCGGGUUGUAAACUGCUUUUAUUUGGGAAGAUUAUGACGGUACCAAAUGAAUAAGGAUCGGCUAACUACGUGCCAGCCGCCGCCGUAA
RNAcentral lists this ribosomal RNA (480 nucleotides) under uncultured bacterium. RNAcentral describes it as "partial 16S ribosomal RNA". It matches the Rfam family "Bacterial small subunit ribosomal RNA", at positions 28 to 523 of the family's 1533-position model. The record is from RNAcentral.